CCGCUUCGGGAUGGCCUCGCGGCCUAUCAGCUAGUUGGUGGGGUAACGGCCCACCAAGGCGACGACGGGUAGCUGGUCUGAGAGGAUGUCCAGCCACACUGGGACUGAGACACGGCCCAG
RNAcentral lists this ribosomal RNA (120 nucleotides) under uncultured bacterium. RNAcentral describes it as "partial 16S ribosomal RNA". It matches the Rfam family "Bacterial small subunit ribosomal RNA", at positions 215 to 334 of the family's 1533-position model. The record is from RNAcentral.